Molecule: ribosomal RNA, 327 nt
Filed under: uncultured eukaryote
Lineage: Eukaryota
Description: partial 18S ribosomal RNA
Rfam family: Eukaryotic small subunit ribosomal RNA
Source: RNAcentral
CCCUUAGAUGUUCUGGGCCGCACGCGCGCUACACUGAUGCAUUCAACGAGUCUAAAACCUGGUCUGAUAGGGCUGGGUAAUCUUUUGAAAGUGCAUCGUGAUUGGGAUAGAUGAUUGCAAUUCUUCAUCUUCAACGAGGAAUGCCUAGUAAACGCAAGUCAUCAGCUUGCAUUGAUUACGUCCCUGCCCUUUGUACACACCGCCCGUCGCUCCUACCGAUUGAAUGGUCCGGUGAGGACUCGGGAUUUUUACCAGUUUCCUUCAUUGGGAAUUGGUGAGGAGAACUUGUCCAAACCUUAUCAUUUAGAGGAAGGUGAAGUCGUAACA